GGGGGUACCGGUACAGAGUCAAUGUGGAGACUAUAUACAGGGGGUACCGGUACAGAGUCAAUGUGGAGGCUAUAUACAGGGGGUACCAGUACAGAGUCAAUGUGGAGGCUAUAUACAGGGGGUACCAGUACAGAGUCAAUGUGGAGGCUAUAUACAGGGGGUACCGGUACAGAGUCAAUGUGGAGGCUAUAUACAGGGGGGUACCAGUACAGAGUCAAUGUGGAGGCUAUAUACAGGGGGUACCAGUACAGAGUCAAUGUGGAGGCUAUAUACAGGGGGGUACCAUACAGAGUCAAUGUGGAGGCUAUAUACAGGGUGUUACGGUACAGAGUCAAUGUGGAG
RNAcentral lists this long non-coding RNA (342 nucleotides) under Salmo salar (Atlantic salmon). Its description in RNAcentral is "lncRNA (ENSSSAG00000117164.1)". The record is from RNAcentral. Lineage: Eukaryota; Metazoa; Chordata; Actinopteri; Salmoniformes; Salmonidae.